Molecule: long non-coding RNA, 7800 nt
Filed under: Taeniopygia guttata (zebra finch)
Lineage: Eukaryota; Metazoa; Chordata; Aves; Passeriformes; Estrildidae
Description: lncRNA (ENSTGUG00000020130.1)
Source: RNAcentral
UUUUGUUUUCCUUCUCUUUCUUUAUCCUUUCCUCUUGCUAUUUUUCUUCUCUUUUUCUCUUUCUUUUGCCCUUUCUACUUUUCAGCUUUCUUUCUUCUCUUUCUUGCCCUCUUUGUCUCCAAAUGAUGUUUAAUUCCUCGGGCAGUGUCUAAGGUCAGCGGGCGGGGCUCCUUGCAUCCCCCUGCUCUUGCUGAGGGUUCGAGAGCCCUCUGCUGUCCACCCAGCCCUGCCCACUCUGUCCCUGUCUGAGUCACUUUCAACAUGAGGAGCCGUCAGAGCCGUCCUUGGGAUGUGGGGACAGCUCCCUCUACAAGGGAGGAAUGCUCCUGUAUCCUCACCUUGCUCCAUCAUCCAGCUCUUCCCUGGCUCAGGUUCUGCCUCUAAUGUCAACACGCGGCUCAGGACUCUCCAUUUUUUCCUGUGAAAGACAAUCUUAGAAAUUAUAAAUGAAUAAUUAAUGCAAUGUUUAUCUGAAGCAUAAUAAAUGUGUAAAAACUGCUCCCGUCAUGUGGAGAGGUGCCAAAUUGGAUCAUCAUCCACACAAUUCCCAUCACAAAGGUAGUAAUAUCCUUCCAACUACCAUAUAGAUCACUUCAGCUCAGUUAUGCACACAUAGAAAGCCCCAGAUGAGCCUUCCUGCUGGGGCCCUAUCAGCGCUGCCACAAGUCCUCAGCAACAGAGGUCAUGGCUAGCUGGAAUGCAGGGAAAAUUUGGCUAGAUUCAAUAAUUCAUAUCCAUAUAAAAUGGGCCUGAGUGGGAAAGAGAGGAUUAAAUACAAAGUGAUCCCCAGAGCCAAGAUUACUUGCUGAUGCUGGUGGCGGUACCUCGGACAGAAGGAGAUUUUUCCUGUUGGCUUUGUUAGUUGUGCAUAAAAGCCUCAUUAGCCCAUUCUGCUGGUCAUCCAUUUUUUAUAUGUGACAUCUCCUUUGGAGUGACUGUGGCUCUUUUCUCUGGCCUCUUUUGGGUGUGGGGGUUUCUGUCCCUCCUUGGGCUGAGGAUGUGUCCUGAGAGACAUGGGACAGGACAAAACCCUCCAGCCCCAUGGCCAGGGCCCUUCCAGACCUCCAUGCCCCCAGCACCAGCAGAAGGGUGGCAGGAACGAUGUUUGGACAAACCCCAUGAGAGCCCCUGACACCUCCAUUCCCCCACACCAGCCCCAGGCAGGUUGCAGCACAUGGCUUCCUACAAAGACACUCUAGGAAAAGGAAAUAUUCACUUUCUGGGGUAAAUAGCAGGGCUUCCUGUUCUUUCCAACUAGAUAUGAAAUAAUCCUUUGUUUUUAUUAGAUAUUUGUUUAAGUGGGAACCAGCCAGACCUCCUGGCUGGGGGCACUCACCCAGACAAAUGGCCAGACUGGAGGUAGAGUGUUCCCAGAGGCAAAGUCCUCCCUGGCUCAUCCCUGGAGCCCAGGUGUCUCCAUCUCAGCCUCACUGACUCCUGGGGGGCAGUGACGGGAGCAGGAAAGGGAUCCCCCAUGGCAGCAGGGGCAGCUCUCAUCCCUGGGGAUCCACCUGCACCACACCUGUGGUUGGAAGGCCCUUCCCUGUGUUGGGCCACCAUUUCUGAGCCUCCAGAGCCUAACAGGCUGGGCUGAAUGGGGGGGAUUCCGUCCCUCCUGCCUCUGCCUUGGCAUGGAUCACACCCUGAGAAUCAGCCAUGGUCCCACUGCUCCCAGGUACAGACAGUCACUUCUCCAGCCUCCCACCAAAUCCAGGCUCUUGCAGGUGCUGCCUGGGGCACGACACCCGAAUGCUGCUGGAGGCUCCCAGCCUUCCUCCGCCUCCUCCUCCUUCUCCUCCUCUUUGCCCUGCCCCUGCUUUCCAUCAGCCUCCCUCUGCCCACCCCAAGGUGCAUUCCACGUUGGUGAUAAGUCUAGGAGCUGGAGUAGUGAGGGAUAUUCCUCCUCCCCUGCGAGGUCCUGAGUACUCUUCCUCAAGGAAAAAUGAAGCGUUUUGAGAUAUUUGGGGCUCUGCCCUGGUUCAGAUGCCCCCAGGCAAAAGCUCAGUGCUGGAGCCAGGCUGUGGAGAGCAGAGGAGGCAGAGGAGCGAGCACCUGUGCUCUGCCUCCUCAACCUUGCUGAUCAGCAUUCCAAAUCUAAUGAAGCUGGGGGAGGAUGCUCCUGUUUGCCCGCUGUAAUGGAUCACGAUGCCGAGGUGGCUGGACGCUGGAUGUGGAGAUGGAGGGCCAUGGUAAUGUGACAAGAAUUAAUGAAACAUAACCAGACUUUCAUAUAAUUAAAAUCAGUAAUUGCUGGAAAGAUGGCUCAUGCAAAACGAUGGGCUGGGGGUGGGCAGGGUUGAUUAAAACUGGUGACUGGCUACAAAUGAUUAGAUUAAAAUCAAUUAACUGUAGAAUUGCUGUCUGGCAUAUGGAAGGAUAAUUCAGUUAUGUAACCGACAGCAGGAUUUGCACUUUGCAAAUGUUGUUUCAGUGUAUCAGACCAGGCUUAGGCAACCUGGUUAUUUAACAGGACACACUUGUGAUUCCUGGUUCCGAGGGUGGGAUUUGGUAACAAGAUGCAAGGCAGAGCCCGCAGCCCAGGGCUGCUCUCUCUCUAAAAAGCAAGAAAGCCCAGAGACGGCUAGGAUCCCCUGCUCUGCCCUGGUUAUUUGUAAACAGGAGCUCUUUUAAAGACUGGUUGGAUUAAGGAAGCAUUAGUGGAAUUCCACGCUCGGCAUCCUCCCUAGAGUUUGCUGGUGGCACUGCCCAUUAGCGCUAAUGCAGCCGCAUUAGUACAUUGAAAGCAUUCAUGUGUCACAGCAUCCCUGACGCUCCGGCUCCUCUUCCUUCCCUAAGCCCCGGGAAAAGCUGGGCUGAAACCCUGCCGAGGGACAGCAAGGAGCUGCUGGCUGCAAAAGGAGGUGGGACUGGCCCGGGCACUGCAGGUAACCCUACAACACCCUCCUGCUCUGGGCUGUGGGUCAGCAUCCUGUCCCACCUCUAAGGCUCCUCUUUCUGCUGUGGAUGAGCAGCCAGCUCUGGGAAAAAGCCUGGAGGUGCUAGGGCAGUGCUGGCAGACAUUGCACUUUAAUAGGCUUGAGGUCCUGCUGAGAUGCUGGGUUGGCUCAUCUUCAAUACAGCCGCACUGAAGAUCACCCUCUUCUUACACAUCUUGGUUUUUAGCAGACAUUUUGUCUCUUCCCAGCUCUUCUGUGGCCAAAGAAAAAGCACUCUCCCAUCGUGACACCCCUGUCACCAACAUCAUGACAUGCAAGGGCAAAAAAGCUUCACUCCAGGAAUUGUUCUAGGUGAGGUUGGAUGGGCCUUGGAGCACUCUGGGAUAGAGGAAGUGUCCCUGCCCGUGGCAGGGGUGGCACUGGAUGGCUUUAAGGUCCCUUCUACCCCAAACCAUUCCAUGAUUUUCUUUCUGGUGAGCUACACUCCAAGCCCAUGUUGUUCCCAAGACCUAGAGCUGCAUGCCAGGAGUGGUUCUCAAAAUUUUGGGGUGGUGCAGAAAGAAGUUCCAGUGGUGCAAUGAAUUUGGCCCAGCUGUACUUGUGUCCUCAAGAGGGGAGAGCUGUUGGUUCUACUGACUGCAGAGAACCCAGCCUCUGGGAUGGGUCAUUGUCCUAGCAGCAGACGGCAGUGGGCUUUCUCCACUCUUUUCUCAGAAAACCUGUCCUGGAAUUGCUCUGGAAAUCUCCCACACCAAUCAAAAUGUGUGUGCUUCCUGUGGAAGAGGCAAAAGUCGAUUUAGGUCAAAAAUAACUAUGUAUAGAGCAGAGAAACAUCUCCUGAGCCGUCUGCCAUGUACCAAAGCCAAGCUCCACUUAAAGCCUGAUGUGGCUUUAAAAAAUAUAAAAAACCUGACUGGCCUUCAUUCAGGGUUUUCAAACCAUUCUGCUCUUUAUAGGGCUGUUCAAACAUGGCUCCACUAAGCUGCUGUCCAUCAAAAAUAAGCUCUUGGUUCUUGCUGUCAAGAACGUUAACCCCACUUCUGCCUCUACUCCAGGAAAGAGCUCCUUGGAAGAGCCCUCAUGUCCAGCCCCAGCUCUGCCAGGCUGAUGGAGCACAUCUUCCUUCCAUUUUCUGCUGCCUCCAAUGGUCCUGGGAGGAACCUUUGCAAACAGUGAGAAAGUAUUUUAUUCAAUUAACCUGCACUGGUAAUCUCCAUGGAGAUCCUGCUUCUCUUCCCUUUCUCUGCUCUUGCGCUUGCUUAUUCUGGAUUGGUGCAAAAUCCCUCUUUUCCUUGCUCUCACUUUACGUGUUUCACCCAUAGCCCAUCUAUGAUUUCUAGGUCCUAGCCAGGAUCUUUUUUCCUGCUUCUGCUUCUCCCCUCCAUGGCCAGCAGUAAUGCAGAGUCAUCUGGAUGCCUUUCUGCAGACAUGGCACAGUGGCAUCCCCAUGCACAGCCAUGCUAUUGCUGCCUAAAUCCCUUCCCCUUCCACAGCAGGUCUACAAAUCACCAACGAGCCAGGCUUCAGGAUGAAGUCCCUUUCAUCAUGGAGAGAUGAGUUAUCAUUUCCCUUCCUGAAUGAGAUGCAGCAGAUUUAUUGUCCUGACUCAGCCCCCAAGUUUGUGUGAAGGAGAAAGGUCAGGACAGAGUUUGCAAACUCCGUCAAUAUUCCUGCCCUAGGAGGUUUUCUGCUCCCUGACAAAGUAGUUCAGCAAGGCUGGUUGCUUGUUUGAUGCCUUUUGUAAAGGCAGAAGGACACAGAUAUUUUGCUGAUAAUUCACUCAUCUGCAGUGAAUCAAGCAGCAAUCCACACCACUGAAAUCAUGGAUGAUGCUGGAAAAUCACUCUGUUCUCUCCAGCCCUUGGGUCACACCCAACCCCAGAGAACAAAAACUUCUCAGAAUUCCUAUUUCAGAAUAAUCUCAAAAAAUCAGUCCAGAAGCCAAAUAGUCUUGUUUUGGUUGUGAUUUAAAGAGGACUGGUCUGGUUUGGGAUUUUUAAAACUAUUAUCACGUACUUAAAUUAAAACUCCAAGCAGAAGUCCCAAAAGGGGAAAUGAACCUGCUCCAUUUCAACUUUACAAGAACAGUGUGCUCUGGGGAUUUUUCAAUGAGUUUUCAAAAUUAAACCUAUCUGCAAAACGUCUUGUUGAGUGAGCCCAUGGCCCAUUCCACAUCAAUAUCACAUGUCUGAUAUCCAAGUCCUGUCCCUCCAUGCCUUUUCCCCAUUCCCUCUCCAGCUCUCCUUGAGCCCCUUUAGGCCCUGGCAAGGGCUCUGAGCUCUCCCUGGAGCUUUCUCCUCUCCAGGUGAGCACCCCCAGCUCUCCCAGCCUGGCUCCAGCCCUGGAGCAGCUCCAUGGAUUCCUCUGGAUUCUUUCCAGCAGCUCAAGGUGCUGCUGCUGUGUCCCCAGGGCUGGGGCAGCUCUGGGGCAGAAUCCCCCUCCCCUGCUGCCCAGGCUGUGGGAUCAGCCCAGGGCAUGGGGCAUGUCCAGCCUCUCACCCACCAACAUCCCCAAAUCCUUCUUGGCAGGGCUGCUCUCCAUCUGCUCAUCCCCCAGCCUGGGUUGAUCCCAAUGUUUAGCAUCCCUUUGCUCUCAGGUCACUUUGGAGCACACUCUUUAUUUAUAGGCAUCCCAGAACAGCCUGUGGAAAAAUAAACACCUGACCCUUCCCAGUUUGUGACGUUUCCUCAUGCUCCUCCGGCAGCUCCUCCUGGAAGGCUCAGCCCAGGAGAAGCACACCUCUCUCCAGAUGGUGAGAGCUGCUGUCAGCCCAAAGAGGGAAAUCACAGCUGAGAUGAAGACACAAACUGGCAUGUGGGAAGGUAGACAGCAGAAAUCUUUGUGGUGGCUGAGCUCUGUCACUCCCCGUGAGCAACAGCCCGGUGAUUUCCUGUCAGAAACCAGCCUCUGCUGAACUUAACUACAAACCUGAUCUCACACGUUUUGAACAAGGAUGUUGUGCUCAGUUCUGGGCUCUGAGCACAGCAGGGACCCGAGCUCCUGGAGCUCAGGAAGGGCCUGGAGCAUCUCUGUGCCCAGGAAAGGCUGAGGGAGCUGGGGCUGCUCAGCCUGGAGAGGAGGCCCAGCGAGAGGGCCCUCAGGCCUGGUUGUUCCUGUCUAUCCCUGGCGUUCCCUGGCUGUCCCUGGCUGUCCCUGGGUGUCCCUGUGUGCAGGAGGGGCAGAGCAGGGCCCAGGCUCUGCUCCAGGCCCAGCAAUGGCACCAGAGCCACGGGCAGGGCCUGAGCCCAGGAAGUUCCACCUGCACAGGCUUCUGCCCUGGGCAGUGCCCAGCCCUGAGCAGAGCCCAGAGAGGUGUGGAGUCUCCCUCCCUGGGGAUAUCCCACACCCCUCUGGACACCUUCCUGUGCCCUGAGCUCUGGGAUGGCCCUGCUUGAGCAGGGAGGUGGCACCAGUGACCCACGGUGGUCCCUUCUGCCUGUCCCAUCUGGGAAUUCUAUGAUUCUAUGAUUCUGUGAACUGUAAGAGCCCCUCAUUCCAGCUGUCUGGGAGCUUGCAGGAUCCGAGGCACUGGUCUGAGAGGGAUCACAGCUCAGUGUCAUCCAACCCCAGCUCUCCUCUCCCAGGAGGGGACAGGUGUUUUUUUGGGGUGGAGAACAAUUCCCUGCCACGGUGAUUCAACCACCCUUAUGUUCCACUUCUUAUUUACACUCCCCAGUGGUAAUGUUAUGGUACUUAAUGGCUCACAAGGCCCUAUUUCAUCUUCUAAAUAUACAUCCCCAUUUUGCUGCCUGAACUCCCUUCAUUAUAUCACAAGCUGACUGCAGGCAUCAGUCAUGGCUGUGAUAAACACAAACUGCCCUAAUAUCAUUUCCCAGGCUGUGAAGAGCCUGAUCUCAGCUGUGCCAGAGCCAGAUGGAAGAGGGAGUUUGGAAUAGAGACUUACACUCUGUUAAAUGUAUGUGACAUUUAAUUAUGACUGCAAGAGCGUCUCUCUCAACCAGGGUAACAUGAGGCUGAAUUCUGCAAAUAACAGGAAAAACUCAGAUAAUUCCAGCUCUGCUGUUCCAGCCCCAGACUGAGCACUCACCGGUGCAUUCUGCAGCACAGCCCUGUUCCCGGAGGAUUUAUUAUCUCAAAUGCUGCAUCACGCAAACAAAAGGAGCUGCUCAAGUUUGGAAAUAACCUGCCUGAAUCCCUAAUGAAUGCACUGAAUUUAGCAGCCCUGGCAGGAGCUGGUGCACAGUGUCCUGUUGGUCUCUGGUUAUUUCUGCUGUUGCAGAGCUGAGGUGCAGCCCAGGGGACCUGACCCCGUCCUGUGCAAAUGCUGGAGGGACAGUCAGAGAGGUCAGGGAGGUCCCAGGUGGGUGGAGAAGCAUCUUCAGUCAGGCGGAGAUACCAGGAGGCAGUUUUGGUCAUUGGUGAUGGGGCACCAGAGCCUGGGAAUCCAGCUGCUCCUGGAACUUCAGGAUGGAUCACAGCUCCAGAAUCACCCAAGAGAGGAGUGAGGACAGGACAAGGAUGCGGCUGCACUGAGGUUCAUGCAGAAAAGUGAGGAAAAAAUUGGGAGAAAACUCCAAGGAUGUUCCCCAGAAAUUCAUCCAUGCCUGCCACCUGCCAGGCCAAGCUGAGGCUGGCUUUCCAUGGAAUGGAGAGCAGGGAUAGACAAUAAAGGGGCUUAACCCAAGAAGGAGCAGCUCAUCAUGCUUUGGCAGUAAUGUGCUCAGAGAAAUGCUGGGUAAUCCAAAGGAACAGACAUCUAAAAAUCCUGUUGAUGACUUCUUAUUUUGUCCUGAUAUCCUUGGUGAAAUCAAGGUGUUUUCUUCCUUUUUUUGUUUUUUUCCUCAGCAAGUAGAAAGUACAAAUAUCAGUAAACAGGAGCCCAUUUAACACCAGACUUUCAGCAAUGGCUAAGCCUCUAUCCAGCUCUUAAAUUCUGAUAAUG